Camelus dromedarius (Arabian camel) is the source of this 128-nucleotide small nucleolar RNA. Its record names the gene SNORD22. It matches the Rfam family "Small nucleolar RNA SNORD22". Rfam says of the family: U22 is a member of the C/D class of snoRNA which contain the C (UGAUGA) and D (CUGA) box motifs. U22 is encoded within the U22 snoRNA host gene (UHG) in mammals and has also been identified in Xenopus. NCBI's taxonomy places the organism in Eukaryota, Metazoa, Chordata, Mammalia, Artiodactyla, Camelidae. The record is from Ensembl.
UGCCAGUGAGGAGAGCAAACAUCCUGUCUUACCCCCUGUCCCAGCCCCAGAGCCAGUAAUGGUGAACCCACUGGGGCUGACUGGGAGAGAGGAUGAAAACUUGUUCCAUAUGGAACAGUCUGAGGUAC